RNAcentral lists this non-coding RNA (484 nucleotides) under Pan troglodytes (chimpanzee). Lineage: Eukaryota; Metazoa; Chordata; Mammalia; Primates; Hominidae. The record is from RNAcentral.
AGCCUAGGGAAGAGUAAGGUGUCUGGCCGGGCUGUAUCUCAUGGGUGGCGAGGGAACAUUGCCUGUCUCGGAAACAGUUCCCAAGACAACGCGCAUCCCAGACGCCCGGCGAGGCUGCCUUCCUACAGGAGUGGUCCUAAUCUGCAUAUCCAAGAGCAAUGUAUGUGAACCUACGUUUCCACAGCCUCACCCACAGAAUGUGUGCUCAAACAUUUGGAUUUUUGCCCAUCUACUAGGUCAGCAUUUUACCUAUGGAUGGCAUUUUCUAUUUUCGGUGACGGACUAUGAGCCAGGAUAAACACAUUACUCCCUUCUUUAACAAAAAGAGCAUGGUUAACUCCAAAGACUUCUCUAGACCAGCCUGGAUGGUACCUAAACUUUAAUCAACCAAUGCUCAAGUAAAAGAGCAGUAUCCAGCCCCAGCACACCUAACUGUUUUGCAUAACAUAGGUGAGUAGUGACAUUUUCCUUAUCUUUUCCACUG